GGCACUUCUUCAUGCUGCCUUGCGAAGAAGCUGGCUUGCUUCCUCUUUGUCUUCCGCCAUGAUUGUAGAUUUCCUGAGGCCUCCCAAGCUGUGCUGAACUACCAAACCAAUGCAGAACUCCUAUGUGCUGAUGGUGGUCUUACAUUUCCCUAAGUUUCUGCCGACUAAACUGUGCACACGUUCUCAGGACCUCCUGAAGCUGCGUCACAGGCACUAAUCAAAGAACACAACCAAGAGUUUGGCCUUUUCUUCAGCACUGGGAAUUGUGAUCCAAAGCUUUUCCUGAUGAAGCACAAAGUUGGAGAAAAAAAACGCAAACUAAACAACAACAAUGAAACAGAACAGAGUGAAUCUGCUGUAGCUCAAGAGAGGACGUAGCUGCCCCCACUCCGCAUCCCCGGGCUCGGGUUUGCCUUGCUGACCUCUGCUGCCACCUGGUGCCGCACAGAGAAACUGAGGAGAAACCACAUCAGUCUCCUUCAGCCUCAGCUUCACAUCUGUGGGUCAAGUAACCCUUUCAGAAGCUGAAUAAUGUGGGAAAGCUUUCCUCUCAGGAAAAUGCACACAUCCAACUUUGAGAAGAUGCCCUUGGGGGCGCUUCAAGGAUUCUAGAUAAUAACCCCCUUUCCCGAACAUCCAAGAACCUAAGAUUUUUUUUUUUUUUUUGAGAAAGUCUCGCUCUCUCUCCCAGUCUGGAGUGCAGUGGCGUGAUCUUGGCUCACUGCCAGCUCCACCUCCCAGGUUCACGCCAUUCUCCUGCUUCAGCCUCCCUAGUAGCUGGGGCUACAGGCACCUGCCACCAAACCCGGCUAAUUUUUUUGUAUUUUUAGUAGAGACGGGGUUUCACCGUGUUAGCCAGGAUCGUCUUGAUCUCCUGACCUUGUGAUCCACCCGCCUCGGCCUCCCAAAUUGCUGGGAUUACAGAUGUGAGCCACCGCACCUGGUCCAAGAGCCCAAGUUUUAGAUCUAGAGUGAUGUCAGCAUGACAUUGAUUUCCUGAGGCCCAGGGGCGAAGGAGCUGAGGACAGCAGAGGGGUGAAGGAACUCAGCUACAGACAGCAGCAGCUGAUGCACAGGCCUCCCAGCGCCUGAAGUCACCCGGAAUUGGGAAGUGCUCAGAAGCUUACAAAGCUGCCUCGAGCAGAAGAAUCCCAGACUUCUUAGAGAACCCAGUGACUUUUUGCACCUUAAAUCUGUGAAAUCCUCAUGCUUUCUUCUGCCGUAUCCAUCGUUCAAACAAACAUGAGGCAAAGCUAGACACAUUCCUGAAGGAACCCAAGAAAUUCCUCUCUUUCUCUCUCUGGAAUGAAAUGAAUUCUCUAGACCACCAGUUCUAACCUUCAAAAACGAAACCUGUUUGUGAGAUCUCCUUCAAAUACUACUGUAGACCCCAGUGUUUAUUCAUUAAAUUUUUUAAACAUUUGUUUUAUUUGGAAUCAAA
Molecule: long non-coding RNA, 1441 nt
Filed under: Homo sapiens (human)
Lineage: Eukaryota; Metazoa; Chordata; Mammalia; Primates; Hominidae
Description: family with sequence similarity 157 member C
Source: RNAcentral